Molecule: long non-coding RNA, 1102 nt
Filed under: Setaria viridis
Lineage: Eukaryota; Viridiplantae; Streptophyta; Magnoliopsida; Poales; Poaceae
Description: long non-coding RNA (SVIR_LNC004531)
Source: RNAcentral
UCAUGUCAACUUUUAAGAAAUUUGAAGAUUCAGCAAGAUAGAGUACUCGAUGAGCGUGAAAACUACUCGACGAGGAACUGAAAAGUACUCGAAGACUGCUGCAUUCGACUUUGAAGCGCUCGGGGGCUUGUCGGGGAUAGAUUCCAGUACCCGCAAGGAAUGAAGAAGACAGACUCGUACUAGAACUCCCCUGUAAUCCUACUAGGACUCAUACCGUGUAAUCCUACUAGGGCUUCUACCUUAUAACUGACUAGUAAUCCCACCCCUUGGAGUAUAUAAAGGAGGGCAUGGGUCCCUAGAUCGGUAGGCGAAGACCUCAGAGAACCACAACAGAGGACCAAAUUCUCAACACCAAACAACAUCCAAGUGCAGGGCGCAAUAUACAACACCCUAAACAGGACGUAGGGUAUUACACUACCCUGGCGGCCCGAACCUAUAUAAAUCCGUGUGUUGUGUCCUUACUUUUACCUUUGAGUUACAAGUCCGAUGAUCCCCCACCAACCAAUCUACUACCUCGGGAUACCCCUCUGUAGUUGCUGGGUAUAAAACACCGACAACAUGUGUGCACUGGGUUAGAUAAAAAGUAGAAAAAUCCUUACAUGUGCAUGAGUUAAAAAAAAUAGACGAUGGGUCGAGAACUGGAUAAUAAAACAAGUCCAUGGCCAAGUAUGUUUCGUAUAUACUAAACUGGGUUUUGUUUAAUCUAUCGGAAUCAUAUCGAUUUUUUAAUUGUAUUGCUGUAUUUUCCCCUCCAGCUACCAAAUUUCCAAAAGUUCUUUUAUUCUAGUUGGAGAAAGCAACGAUUCCUCUUUUGGUAAAUGACAUGAAAUGCACGCAGGUUCACUGAUGCAUGGGCCUGCUCUAGAUAAUCAUCUUCCACCUUUGCUGUAUGCAAGAUGAAAUGCAACCAGGUUCACUAACAAAUGGGCCCAAUAAGAGCAUACAAUCUUGUUAGUGGCCCUGGAGUAAGUGCAGCUCACAAAAUUCUCAUUUCACACCCAGGCACUUGAAAGCGGGAUCUUAAAUUCUAUAUUCCCUUCCCUCCGCGAACUCAUAAAACAUGGCUACCGCAGCUCCACUCCAAACUCCUACCGUAUUUCCA